Molecule: microRNA, 20 nt
Filed under: Drosophila ananassae
Lineage: Eukaryota; Metazoa; Arthropoda; Insecta; Diptera; Drosophilidae
Description: miR-311b-RA
Source: RNAcentral
UUGCACAUUCCCCAGCCUGG